CAGCCGCCGCGGUAAUACGUAGGGUGCGAGCGUUAAUCGGAUUUACUGGGCGUAAAGCGUGCGCAGGCGGCCCGUUAAGACAGGUGUGAAAUCCCUGGGCUCAACCUAGGAAUUGCGCUUGUGACUGGCGGGCUCGAGUACGGUAGAGGGGGGUGGAAUUCCUGGUGUAGCAGUGAAAUGCGUAGGGAUCAGGAGGAACACCGAUGGCGAAGGCAGCCCCCUGGGCCUGUACUGACGCUCAUGCACGAAAGCGUGGGGAGCAAACAGGAUUAGAUACCCUGGUAGUCCACGCCCUAAACGAUGGGUACUAGCCGUUUGGUGCGCGAUAGCGCUGAGUGGCGAAGCUAACGCGAGAAGUACCCCGCCUGGGGAGUACGGCCGCAAGGUUGAAACUUAAAGGAAUUGGCGGG
Molecule: ribosomal RNA, 410 nt
Filed under: uncultured microorganism
Description: bacterial SSU rRNA
Rfam family: Bacterial small subunit ribosomal RNA
Source: RNAcentral